CAGGCCUCUGCAGCCCAAAUGUUUGGCGUUAGCGAGGACGGAAAGUGCCACGCAUACCCAACCACCCGCCUAGGCGGCGUAUAGUAAUAGGGUCCGCCCUGCACCCCCCCCCGAAGUUCAGGGGGGACCUGAGGACCACCGGCAUUAGCACAAUGCGAGUGGGCAGGCGGUAGCAAUAGGGUCACUCGCGGAACGGAGCAGUCACACGUGGGAUGUACCCUUCGGUUCGGCACAACUACCGGGAAAACUGACGCUAAUACCGAUACGCCCUUAACGGCGAAAGAUUUAUCGCCGAAGGAUCAGCCCGCGUGGAUUAGCUAGUUGGUGAGGUAAUGGCUCACAAAGGCGACGAUCCGUAGUGGUCUGAAAGGAUGAUCAGCCACACUGGGACUGAGACACG
This 400-nucleotide ribosomal RNA is filed under the name uncultured bacterium. RNAcentral's name for it is "partial 16S ribosomal RNA". The stretch from base 153 to 400 matches the Rfam family "Bacterial small subunit ribosomal RNA", at positions 55 to 328 of the family's 1533-position model. The record is from RNAcentral.